This 253-nucleotide ribosomal RNA is filed under the name uncultured bacterium. RNAcentral describes it as "partial 16S ribosomal RNA". It matches the Rfam family "Bacterial small subunit ribosomal RNA", at positions 524 to 776 of the family's 1533-position model. The record is from RNAcentral.
CACGUAGGGCGCAAGCGUUGUCCGGAAUUAUUGGGCGUAAAGAGCUCGUAGGUGGUUUGUUACGUCCGCUGUGAAAUCCUAGGGCUUAACCCUGGGCUUGCAGUGGAUACGGGCAGACUAGAGGUAGGUAGGGGAGAAUGGAAUUCCCGGUGUAGCGGUGAAAUGCGCAGAUAUCGGGAGGAACACCGGUGGCGAAGGCGGUUCUCUGGGCCUUACCUGACACUGAGGAGCGAAAGCGUGGGGAGCGAACAGG